Molecule: ribosomal RNA, 463 nt
Filed under: uncultured Latescibacterota bacterium
Lineage: Bacteria; Pseudomonadati; Candidatus Latescibacterota
Description: bacterial SSU rRNA
Rfam family: Bacterial small subunit ribosomal RNA
Source: RNAcentral
GCACAAGCGGUGGAGCAUGUGGUUUAAGUCGAAGCAACGCGAAGAACCUUACCAGGUCUUGACAUCCCCUGACAACCCGAGAGAUCGGGCGUUCCCCCUUCGGGGGACAGGGUGACAGGUGGUGCAUGGUUGUCGUCAGCUCGUGUCGUGAGAUGUUGGGUUAAGUCCCGCAACGAGCGCAACCCUUAUCCCUAGUUGCCAUCAGGUAAAGCUGGGAACUCUGGGGAGACUGCCGGUGAUAAACCGGAGGAAGGCGGGGAUGACGUCAAGUCCUCAUGGCCCUUACAUCCCGGGCUACACACGUGCUACAAUGGCAGGUACAGAGGGCUGCGAAGCCGCGAGGUGGAGCGAAUCCCAGAAAACCUGUCUCAGUCCGGAUUGAAGUCUGCAACUCGACUUCAUGAAGGCGGAAUCGCUAGUAACCGCGAAUCAGCAGGUCGCGGUGAAUACGUUCCCGGGCCUU